This is a long non-coding RNA of Carassius carassius (crucian carp), 802 nucleotides long. RefSeq lists it as uncharacterized. The transcript is spliced from 4 exons. Lineage: Eukaryota; Metazoa; Chordata; Actinopteri; Cypriniformes; Cyprinidae. The record is from RefSeq and is a predicted model, not a curated record.
AUUUCUCAUGGGUGAAAGAUUUGUGCAGCGGUAUCCAGACAUAUAACGCCCCAUUCACACGGGGAGUCAACGCCUCUCGUUUACUUUUAAAUGGAGUGACGUCAAGCAUGAUUUGAGGGAAAGAUUAAAAACAAGGAGGUCUGGGAAUGACUGAAGGGAACUGACAGCAGUGAGGGAAGGAAGUAAUCACCAGAAUAGAAGGAUAUUGACCGUGCAGGCCCAGGAUGAAGAAGAGGAGGAAGAAAACAUUUAACAAUUUUCUCAUAAACUUUCCAUGUGUUAUAAUAAAAACAAUGAACAUGACUACAAUAAUAUGCUAAAUGUUAUUAAAAGAUUCCAGUUUGCAAGAAAUAUGAGUGUCUGACUCUACACUAGAGGAACUCUUUUCUGAAGAACAUCAGGUGCUGAGAAGAAGCAUUGUUAUUACAGCAAAACACUGCAUCAAGCCUCCUGUCCUUCCCUCAGAAGAGCCUGUCUUCUGCUGCUGGGGUUUAUCCUCUGAUAGUGAGCACAGAGCCCUGAUCAUGACAUAAAAGAAAAAAAAUAAUGUCCAUGAUUUACUAAUUUGUUCCCUCGAUGUACUAAAACGUGCAUGAUUACUUUUACAUUUCAUUGAUUUGCUUAAUCUUAUGCACAAUUUACUAAUUCGUUCUCUUGAUGUAUAAAUAGUGUACAUGAUUUAGCAAAUCGAGGGAAUGAAAUAGAAAAUCGUGCGCAUGAAUUAGCCUAUAUUUUUUCCUGCAUGCCGUGUAAUUAAAGCACAUCACCACCAGACAUUUAUACCAGGAGCCUCAUAUACGAC